UACGGGAGGCAGCAGUGGGGAAUAUUGCACAAUGGGCGAAAGCCUGAUGCAGCUAUGCCGCGUGUAUGAAGAAGGCCUUAGGGUUGUAAAGUACUUUCAUCGGGGAGGAAAAACAAAACUAAUAAUUUUAUUUCUUGACGUUACCCGAAAAAGAAGCACCGGCUAACUCCGUGCCAGCAGCCGCGGUAAUACGGAGGGUGCUAGCGUUAAUCAGAAUUACUGGGCGUAAAGAGCACGUAGGUGGUUUUUUUAAGUCAGAUGUGAAAUCCCUGGGCUUAACCUAGGAACUGCAUUUUGAAACUGAAAUACUAGAGUAUCGUAGAGGGAGGUAGAAUUCUAGGUGUAGCGGUAAAAUGCGUAGAUAUCUGGAGGAAUACCUGUGGCGAAAGCGGCCUCCUAAACGAAUACUGACACUGAGGGUGCGAAAGCGUGGGGAGCAAACAGGGAUUAGAUACC
This 456-nucleotide ribosomal RNA is filed under the name uncultured bacterium. RNAcentral's name for it is "bacterial SSU rRNA". It matches the Rfam family "Bacterial small subunit ribosomal RNA", at positions 340 to 786 of the family's 1533-position model. The record is from RNAcentral.